RNAcentral lists this ribosomal RNA (465 nucleotides) under uncultured bacterium. RNAcentral describes it as "bacterial SSU rRNA". It matches the Rfam family "Bacterial small subunit ribosomal RNA", at positions 338 to 795 of the family's 1533-position model. The record is from RNAcentral.
CCUACGGGUGGCAGCAGUGGGGAAUUUUGGACAAUGGGGGCAACCCUGAUCCAGCCAUGCCGCGUGCGGGAAGAAGGCCUUCGGGUUGUAAACCGCUUUUGUCAGGGAAGAAAUGUCCUGGGCUAAUACCCUGGGGGGAUGACGGUACCUGAAGAAUAAGCACCGGCUAACUACGUGCCAGCAGCCGCGGUAAUACGUAGGGUGCGAGCGUUAAUCGGAAUUACUGGGCGUAAAGCGUGCGCAGGCGGUCAUACAAGACAGAUGUGAAAUCCCCGGGCUCAACCUGGGAACUGCAUUUGUGACUGUAUGGCUGGAGUACGGUAGAGGGGAGUGGAAUUCCGCGUGUAGCAGUGAAAUGCGUAGAUAUGCGGAGGAACACCGAUGGCGAAGGCAGCUCCCUGGACCUGUACUGACGCUCAUGCACGAAAGCGUGGGGAGCAAACAGGAUUAGAUACCCUUGUAGUC